This 433-nucleotide ribosomal RNA is filed under the name uncultured bacterium. RNAcentral describes it as "partial 16S ribosomal RNA". It matches the Rfam family "Bacterial small subunit ribosomal RNA", at positions 29 to 507 of the family's 1533-position model. The record is from RNAcentral.
AACGAACGCUGGCGGCAUGCCUAACACAUGCAAGUCGAACGAGACCUUCGGGUCUAGUGGCGCACGGGUGCGUAACGCGUGGGAACCUGCCCUUAGGUUCGGAAUACCUCCCCGAAAGGGGUGCUAAUACCGGAUAAUGUCUUCGGACCAAAGAUUUAUCGCCUUUGGAUGGGCCCGCGUUGGAUUCGCUAGUUGGUAGGGUAAAAGCCUACCAAGGCGACGAUCCAUAGCUGGUCUGAGAGGAUGAUCAGCCACACUGGGACUGAGACACGGCCCAGACUCCUACGGGAGGCAGCAGUGGGGAAUAUUGGACAAUGGGGGAAAGCCUGAUCCAGCAAUGCCGCGUGAGUGAUAAAGGCCUUAGGGUUGUAAAGCUCUUUUACCCGGGAUGAUAAUGACAGUACCGGGAGAAUAAGCUCCGGCUAACUCCGUG